UUUGCUUCUUGGCCUUUUGGCUAAGAUCAAGUGUAGCUAGGGCCUUCUAAACAAUUUUAUAAAUUUUAUUGAAAUAUAGUUGAUUUACAUGUUGUUUAAUUUCUGCUUGCUUACAGCAAAGUGACUCAAU
RNAcentral lists this small nuclear RNA (130 nucleotides) under Cervus hanglu yarkandensis (Yarkand deer). Its description in RNAcentral is "U2 spliceosomal RNA (ENSCHYG00000015046.1)". It matches the Rfam family "U2 spliceosomal RNA". From Rfam's summary of the family: U2 is a small nuclear RNA (snRNA) component of the spliceosome (involved in pre-mRNA splicing). Complementary binding between U2 snRNA (in an area lying towards the 5' end but 3' to hairpin I) and the branchpoint sequence (BPS) of the intron results the bulging out of an unpaired adenosine, on the BPS, which initiates a nucleophilic attack at the intronic 5' splice site, thus starting the first of two transesterification reactions that mediate splicing. Lineage: Eukaryota; Metazoa; Chordata; Mammalia; Artiodactyla; Cervidae. The record is from Rfam by way of RNAcentral.